UACAAAUGAUGAUCGACUUAAAUUUUAUUAACUUUCGUUCUACUGAUUAUCGAUCAAACGAUCUUGUAGACACCUUUUUGAUCUGAUA
Molecule: small nucleolar RNA, 88 nt
Filed under: Lachancea lanzarotensis
Lineage: Eukaryota; Fungi; Ascomycota; Saccharomycetes; Saccharomycetales; Saccharomycetaceae
Description: Small nucleolar RNA snR54
Rfam family: Small nucleolar RNA snR54
About the family: snR54 is a member of the C/D class of snoRNA which contain the C (UGAUGA) and D (CUGA) box motifs. Most of the members of the box C/D family function in directing site-specific 2'-O-methylation of substrate RNAs.
Source: Rfam by way of RNAcentral